AGACCAAAUUUAAUUAGGCUUCUAACCUAAAAUUAAUGGAAACCCAUUUUGGUCUU
Molecule: transfer RNA, 56 nt
Filed under: Amblyomma americanum (Lone Star tick)
Lineage: Eukaryota; Metazoa; Arthropoda; Arachnida; Ixodida; Ixodidae
Description: tRNA-Ser
Source: RNAcentral